Molecule: ribosomal RNA, 438 nt
Filed under: uncultured bacterium
Lineage: Bacteria
Description: partial 16S ribosomal RNA
Rfam family: Bacterial small subunit ribosomal RNA
Source: RNAcentral
CUACGGGUCGCUGCAGUGAGGAAUAUUGCACAAUGGGGGGAACCCUGAUGCGGCAACGCCGCGUGGAGGAUGACGCAUUUCGGUGUGUAAACUCCUUUUAUAUGUCAAGAAAAUGACGGUAGCAUAUGAAUAAGCACCGGCUAACUCCGUGCCAGCAGCCGCGGUAAUACGGAGGGUGCAAGCGUUACUCGGAAUCACUGGCGUAAAGGACGCGUAGGCGGGUUGGAAAGUCAGGUGUGAAAUCCUACAGCUUAACUGUAGAACUGCACUUGAAACUUCUAAUCUAGAGUAUGGGAGGGGGAGAUGGAAUUAGUGGUGUAGGAGUAAAAUCCGUAGAUAUCACUAGGAAUACCUAAAGCGAAGGCGAUCUCCUGGAACAUUACUGACGCUAAGGCGUGAAAGCGUGGGGAGCAAACAGGAUUAGAUACCCUCGUAGUC